GUCUGCGCAUGUGCCUGUCUGUUGGUUGGUUACUGGCAUAGCCUAUCCUCUCUUUAAUUCUGCACACACAUCCAGAGGAGAGCAGGCAUUAUCACCAUUAUCACACGUGGGGAAACUGAGGAACAGAGAGACGGAUGUGCCUUGGGUCCUAGGGUAAGUAAGUCGGGAGCCCAGAUGUGAGUCUGAAGUUGAUGAUCUUUGCUUCACAGAUUUCCGGAGCAGUAGGAGCCUUGCUUUGGUUUACUGUAGGGCUUUCUCUUCCCCAGCUGAAAAUACCUUUGUUAUUAUGUUAUGGUGGCCUGUUUGCAUUCCCGGGGCCAUGUCAGCAGAAGGUUCCAGGAGUGAGGGGGCAGCCUUGAAGUUUCUGGGCUGGGAGAAGAGUCCCUCUAGAGCAAGGACCCGAGUGCAUUUUUUGCACAAAUACAAGCUGGGCCAGGCACACCCACAGACGUCCUGGGUUCUCUGUUGCAUUCAGGAAGGCCCAGGAAGCCCUGAAGCUCAUGCUUCAGUAGGACUGGAGCCCCUCGGGUGCAUUCGCUGCUAUCUCCCUCACGGAUAGCUUCUAGGAGCGAAACUCAGAUUUCAAGUUAUUUUGUCAGCAAGGGAACAAGGGGAGAGGGGUUUUCUUGCUUUAUCCCCUUCAUGCCAUGGCCACAUGGUUGUAAGAGCCAAGAGUCCACUCUGCCAUCAUGGAGGCUGCUUGGUCCUGCAUUCGGCUUGCUCUGUGCAGUCUGGCAGGAAGUGAACUGGGUUUGGGGUGGGAAGACUUGACUUUGAAAUUGUCACUCCCCUUUACUCACUGGGUGACUCUGAGCCUAGUUUCUUCAACUGGAACAUGUAAUAAUGGAACCUACUUUUCUGCAUUUUUGUGGUUAGAAUGAAUUGUGGAUGUGAAAGCUUCCAGAACUAGCUGCUCCCUGACCUUCUCAGCCAAGAGGCCCCCAAAUCUCUGAGACUCAAGACAGCGCUCCAGAUGCCCUGACUCUUGCUGGAUGCAGAACGGAUGAGCAGGAUCUAGACACCCUACACAGGGGUUUCUUAGAUGGUCCACAGGAAAAGGCUCUGCUGACAACGGGCCAGGUGAUGCCGGUUAACUUAAAGUGCCCCACUGUGUUGUUCCCCAUCUUACGAAUCAGUUGAUCCUCUGAUCAUUCAGAGGGCAUUCACUUAGUGCUUACUGGGUGUACCACUGCACACUCAUCAACCUAGGUGGCUGGCUUCACCAGGACUCUGGGGGACAUCUGACCAAUGGUCCUUAGUGUCAUGAGGAGAGGAAAAGGCAGGUCAUCCCGAGGAUGAAGGGAGCCUCAUUACUUUUUAAGGAGAGGGAAGUAGUAGAGGGAAGCUGGCUGGUUGUCCCUUCCCCUCUCUUCCAAAGGCCCUAUCAAGGUGUUGGAGCCUCUGUCAGUUUUCUGUGGCUGCUGUAACAGAUGAUCACACACCGGGGACUUGAAACAACAGAAGUAGAGCUUCUUACAGUUCUGGAGGCUGGAGUUUGCAAUCAUGGCGCCCGUAGGGCGAUGCUCGCUCUGAAGUCUUCGGGGACCGGCCUUCCCUGCUUCAUCCUGCCUCCUGGUAGAGGUAGAUGCUGGCUGUCUUUGGGACUUUUCUCCGUGUUAUGGAUUGAAAGUCUGUGUUCCUUUCAAGUUCAUAUAUUGAAGCCCUAACUCUCAAUGUGACUAUAUUUGAAAAUAGGGCCUUUAAGGAGAUAAUGAGAGUGAAACAAAGUCAGGCUAUAUUACCUUAUAAGAUGAUGCACGGAGAGUCACCCUCCCCCAAGUGCAUGAAGAAGGUCAUGUGGACACAAAGCAAGGUGGGAUUCUGCAAUCCAGGAGGAGGGUCCCCACCAGAAACGGAAUCAGCUGGCACCUUAGUCUUGAACUUCCCAGUCUCCAGAACUGUGAGGAGAUGGAUGUUGUUGAAGCCGCCCAGUCUGGGCCACUUGGCUUCUGGCAGCCUCAGCCUUCUCUCUGCUUCUGCAUGCCUCUGAGUCCCUGUACCUCUCUCUUCCCCGCAUACAUCAGUCACUGGGUAAGAACCACCUUUUGACCUUGUCUUAACUGGAUUCCAUCUGCAAAACCUCAUUUCCAAAUAAGGGCAUAGGCACAGGUACCUGGGGCUAAGAGUUCAGCAUAUCUUUUUGGGAGACACAAUUUAACCUAGAGCAGAGCCCAAGGCACAAAGAAUUCCCCCAGUUUCUCUUCCUAAUCAGAAUGGUUUGGAGAAGGCUGUGUUGCUUCUGUGUACAGAUGGGUUCUCAGUCCCAUAUGGGCCUGGACAGGCCUUCCCCCUCAGUAUCCCUGUGGAUCCUGCAACGGCAUUCACUCAUGUCCUCAAAAAUUACUCAUUGGGCACCAGCUCUGAGCCUAGGGCUGUGUCCGGCUCUGGAAUGGAAAGGGUAAAGGGCCUUUUUCUUCACAGAGUUGACGGCCUGCCGUAAAGGUGAGAGGCAGACCGGGAGGACAGUUGGUCCAACAUCACUACUUCUCAGGAAGAGCCAAGCUGGGUGCCGGGAAGGAGAAAUCUCAGCUUCUUUCCAGAGAGGGCCCUUCCCCGAGCUGCUGCACGGGAGCAGCCAUCAUGGGCAGGGGGAAGAAAGGUGUCCCUUGGAGCAGGUCUGCCUUGCAGAGGGGACGAGCCUGGCUCUGCAAAGAGCAAGCCAGGAGGCCAGGAGGAGGGAGCGUGGGGAGGGAGAAGGGAGCUGCUCAUGGUCCCAGAGGAGGGCAGGGCCAGUCACAGGAAGGAGUCCACUUUUUUUUUUUUUUUAAGUUUAUAUUUUUUGUGCCACACUGAGAGGUAUUGAUGAGACUUGAUGGUUGAGUCAGGAGUGGAAAGUUACAAUAAACAUUGGCAAGGAUGUGGGGAAAGGGUCUACUCCUACGUUGCUGGUGUGGUGGGACUGCAAAUUGGUGCAACCACUCUGGAAAGCAGUAUGGAGAUUCCUCAGAAAACUAGCAGUUAAACCACCAUUUGACCCACUCCCUGGUUUAUACCCAAAGGACUUAAGAUCAGCCUACUACAGUGACGCAGCCACAUCAAUGUUUAUAGCAGCUCAAUUCACAAUAGCUAAGCUAUGGAACCAACCUAGGUGCCUUCAACGGAUGAAUGGAUCAAGAAAAUGUGACACAUAGACGCAUUGGAAUAGUACUUAGCCAUAAAGAAGAAUGACUUUAUGACUUUUGCCAAUAAAUGGAUGGAGCUGGAGACUACCAUGCUAAGUGAAAUAUUCUAAUCCCCCAAAACCAAAGGCGGAACGUUCUCUCUGAUUCAUGGAUGCUAACACAUAACAUGGGGAAGGGUGGGGAGGAGAAAAAUAAAGUUCAUUGGAUUAGAC
RNAcentral lists this long non-coding RNA (3334 nucleotides) under Marmota monax (woodchuck). Lineage: Eukaryota; Metazoa; Chordata; Mammalia; Rodentia; Sciuridae. The record is from RNAcentral.